UUUAUAAAGGCUUUAUCUUGUUGGCAGUUAAUACCCUUUGCAUUGCACCUUCCUUUGGAAGAUAGACUCCCCUUCUACAGUGUGAGGGACUCGGAGGAUGCCAGCUGGGCCUGCACACCUUCCUCUAGGUGUGCUGCUCUUAUCUACGUCUUGGCUGAAUGGAUUCAGCCUUUGGUUUUUGAACAUUUGAAAUUAAGUUCUAAUAACUUGAGUGUACUUAUCUAAUAAAGUUAUAAUACUUAAAGGAAAAGUAUUAAAAUGCCAAAACACUUUUUUAUGUUUUUGAAUGUGUAACAUUUAAAACUGCCUACCAAAUUUAUGAAUGUCUUACUAGAAACACAUUAUGUUAUCCAUCUGUUUCUUUUGAGAUGCUCACGUGUCAAAUAAUAUAUUGUUAACUUGUGCAGACUCUCAACCAAUCCUUGAUGUAUGUAUUCUUUGAAAUCUUUAUUUAAGGCCCUAUAAGGAAUGUUUUAUUUUUAAGCAAAUGUUUUGUCCAUAGUACUGUUUUUAAAUGGCGAUAUUAUGCUUUUAUGUAUUUGUUAUGUUGAUGGUGUAGGCUUUCAGUUUUGUUCUCAAUAAUGCUACAGGAGCAUUUCUGUACGUGUUCACUAAUAUACUCACACACAAGCACAUGUUAAAUAUAUCCAAAUGCAAUAUUUUGGCCAUAAAGAUACUUGUUUGGAACAUUUUUAUGAUAACUCCAAAUUGCUUUUACUUUAAAAUGUUCACAUAUGUAUUUGCAAAUAUGCAUGUACAUUUCACUUGUACAUGGUGCAUAUGUAUGUAAAUUUCAUAAUUAACAUUGUAAUAAAUACUUUAUACCCAGUUAUAUUCACUUUUUCCUUUUUAAUAUUAUUUACCAACAGUUACAAAAUCACUGAUUGAAAGUAUAGGGUUUUUUUAGUCCACUUACCUUACCUUUAUAUUUUUUUCUUGAAUUCUACUUCAGAUUGAAAGCUAAAGAAUACAAAGAAAUUAGGGAACCAGUGAGAAAACACAAGCAGCAAUCCUUGAAACCUGACAAUGGUGGAAGAAGGCAGAAUUCAUUUCUUAGUACCUUAAAAUAUUUAGCAAACUGGAUAUUAUUUAAAAUAAAGCCUUUAUGUUCAUUAUUACUAUUUAUGCUCUUAAUAUGUGUGUCUGGGCUUUGGUUGGAUUUUUUUUUGUAAUUUAUUAAUCUUCACAAUUUAAAUAAAGGUAGAUUCCCAGUAAUAGCACUCAUUUCAUCAAAUUUCCCUUCUAAGGAGAUGCUAAAAAUACAUUAAACUCAAGUAGAUCAACUUAAUCUUGUAUAUUAUGCCAGUGGAGGAAAUUCAGCAUGUACUGGUGUAAAUUCUGUUUCAUUUAGUACUGCCUAGUAGUCAGAGUGUUAGCAGUGCUGCCUAUUUCUGUUAUAUCUAGAAGUAGCCCCCUGUGACCGUGCUGUAUCAGCUCAAAGACUCCAUCCUCAAGUCAGAGAAUCUGCUCCCGUUUCUACCACUUUAACCUCCACCCCACAGACAGCUCAGCAGUUUAACCCCAAGCCUGAGUUCUUUUUACUCAUGGAGUGGUCCAGUUCUCUGGUUUCCCUGCACUCUCAACCUACAGUUAUAAAAUCUGACAUUUCAUAAGUGUUUAGCUGUUUACUUCCUUACUAAAUUUAGAAUGUUAGCAUUUACUGCUAUCAUUAUCCUAACUUGGCUAAAUUCGUUCCGUGGUAGGAUUUUUAUGCUUAUAUUUUUAGAUAACAAAUUGGAGAAGUAAUAUUGUCUGUCUUUUGAACCUAAAGCUUUUCUUCAAAAUUCUCAGAAAAUUAAAAUUUAAGUGAAAACUUUUAGGACUAUGGAUGUAGCUCAAUGAUAGAUGCUUAGGAAUGUGUGUGGAAGACUCUGGGAUACACAUUCAGCACCUGUCAAGUAAACAAAGGAGAGAUUUUGUUUUGAUUCCCUGAGUAUUGCAGUUUAUACUAACUCCGCCGAACAGAACGGUAUGUGACAUAGUUUGACUUUCACUCCUAUGUUUUGAUUCUGAUGGUAGUCCACAGAGCAUUUAAGGCAUGAAUUAUGUAUUGUUGCCAGUUUGCAUCCAAAACUCUUUAAAGCUAAACGAGUGUAUCAUUUGUCUGUAAUUACCUAGUAAGUUUCGGACACACUUAAGUUCAAAUGAUUUGAAGGUAUUUCCAGUAAUCAUUUGUUGUGGUAAGCCUUAUUAUGCACUUUUGGAUCUACAUCUCCAAAAAGAACACACUGUGUCCAAGCUUGGCAGCACAUGCCUUUCAUCCCAGCACUCAGCAAGCAGAGCAGGUCUCUGAGUUUCAAACCAGCCUGGUCUGCAGAGUUCUAGGAUAGCUAGGGCUGUUACAAAGAGAAACCCUGCCUUGGGAGUUGGGGGUGAG
This 2377-nucleotide long non-coding RNA is filed under the name Mus musculus (house mouse). RNAcentral's name for it is "long non-coding RNA chr12:31756744-31759121". Lineage: Eukaryota; Metazoa; Chordata; Mammalia; Rodentia; Muridae. The record is from RNAcentral.